AUUUUGGUUUUUUCGAGUUCGAUAACAAAUAAUCGAUUCGAUUUAUCGAUAAACCGAUUCAAAUGCACACCCCUACCAACCACUCACGUUAAAACAAACAAAUCACUCAUAGAAAACGAGAGAAAAGAAUACAAAAGAAAACUACAAUAUCUGUAAUCACAUUAAUGUAACCAUCUUCCACCCAUUCCUUACUGCUGGUUUAACGCAUUAUAUGCUGCUAAUUUCCUCUUUGCAUUGAUGACUUGUGUUAUUACACUCUGCUUCCUUUUGUUUACCCCACAAAACACCAUAAAGUCCCAUCACUAGCAAUAUUGCUCCACAUACACUGUCAAUAUUUCAGAGGGGCAAACCAUUAGGAAAUCCACUUUAAAAAGUAGUAGUGCUAUUAAUAGAAAGUACAUUAGUUUAAAACUUAGGCUGUCUUUUUCCCAAAAAUGUGAAUUAAGUACUACUUGUUAUGAAAUAGAAGAUUCUUACACUUUUAUUUAAGGUGAAUGUCUUUAAUGUACUUAGUUAGAGAGAUUUUAGAGUCCUAUUAUUGGUAG
This 545-nucleotide long non-coding RNA is filed under the name Nicotiana benthamiana. RNAcentral describes it as "long non-coding RNA (NBEN_LNC027923)". The record is from RNAcentral. Lineage: Eukaryota; Viridiplantae; Streptophyta; Magnoliopsida; Solanales; Solanaceae.